GUUUCUUGUACAUCGUUUGAACUUCCACAAGUUUGAAUUGUGAGAGAUGACUAAAUAUGCAAAUUGAUACAACAUGAUAUUUCAGGUUCAUAUUAAGGAGAGGCAACUUAUCUAGGAUUUAUUUAUCGUCCAGUAGGAUUUAUUUUUGUUUCUUUGAGUAUUUAUGAUAGUCUUUGUAAACCUUCAUGAAAAAAACGUACUUAAGUACACUAACUAAUAUAUGUAACAGUGGAAAUUCACCUAGUUUUCAGUUCUCCGCAAGUUUUCAAAACAGCUGCUGUACGAAGUUUGGAUACUCACGGGCUACUACUUUGGCUUGGCUUCAUACAAAACGAAAUAAGAGGUCAGCUUGUGUCUCAAAUUAAUUAUU
Molecule: long non-coding RNA, 370 nt
Organism: Ctenocephalides felis (cat flea)
Lineage: Eukaryota; Metazoa; Arthropoda; Insecta; Siphonaptera; Pulicidae
Exons: 3
Source: RefSeq, a predicted model, not a curated record